Long non-coding RNA from Bos indicus x Bos taurus (hybrid cattle), 532 nucleotides. The record is from Ensembl. Lineage: Eukaryota; Metazoa; Chordata; Mammalia; Artiodactyla; Bovidae.
GAUCAAUAUAGUUGGGGUGCAGAUACAGGCCUUCCCCUAGGGAAACACUUGCAUCAGUAUUAGUGAGAGACCAAGUACACAUCUGAAGCAUUCCUGUGCUUUCUGUCCACUUGUCAGGUGAUGUUGCCACGUAUGACUGUCCAUCAGCCAGGAGAUGAACCCCCACCCGUGAGGCAGUGACUCAAGGUGCAAGGGAGUCCGGCAAGAAGUGUGGCGCACCCGAGUUGCUGCCACUGCUUUUUGGAUCACCCAGCACGGUGAUGUUGCCACGUAUGACUGUCCAUCAGCCAGGAGAUGAACCCCCACCCGUGAGGCAGUGACUCAAGGUGCAAGGGAGUCCGGCAAGAAGUGUGGCGCACCCGAGUUGCUGCCACUGCUUUUUGGAUCACCCAGCACGGUCUUCUGAAGUCUUCCUGAAAGCAUCCCUGGUGAUCUGUGAGCCCUUGGUCGUGUUGCCCGCCUUCUUCCUGUGGGUCUUGCUGGAUGCUCAUUGUCCCUGUGAGCCGAGGCCCUGGAGGCUUCAGAUUUAGGU